RNAcentral lists this long non-coding RNA (1732 nucleotides) under Jatropha curcas. RNAcentral's name for it is "long non-coding RNA (JCUR_LNC003365)". Lineage: Eukaryota; Viridiplantae; Streptophyta; Magnoliopsida; Malpighiales; Euphorbiaceae. The record is from RNAcentral.
UGUAAAGCUAUAUAGUUUUCUGACAUAUAGCAGUUUGGUUAGGAAUGCAUAACACACCUUCCCUCUCUGUUUAUAUCCAAAUAUGAGGUCUAUCCAGUGAUGCAGAUUUUGAGAAACAUAAUCAGAUUCCAACGCUUCUCGAUGCUUCUUAAUGAAUUCUCUAGCACUUCCUUUGGCCCAUGGAGGCAAGAAGACAUCACCCACCUUAAGAAAGACCAAUAUUAUAAGUUUACAAUUUUAAAUACCCAAAGCAAGGGAAAAUGAAUUGCACAUAGUGGAAAACCAACCUUCUCUCCUGAUUGUUUUUCUCCCAAGUCAAGGUGGAAUCUAUUUUCCAGGAAUUCUGGCAUGUAGAAGAAUUCUGGAAUCAAUUCCUUCACAUCAGAUGUGUUGCCCUUCCCAGCAGCACUUAACCAAGUGUCUUUAACACUAUUGAAAAGUCGAUCAGCAUGAUCAAAUUGCCCACCCUGCAGCUUUUGAUUCUCUGCACUAAAUGGUGGCAGGCGUAGAAGAUAGAAGAGAACAAUUCCAGCACUAGAAUAGUGAGAACCAUAAUGAAAUUUUGGAACCUCUGGAUCAUCCCAGCUCUCAUAUCUGAAUAGGGAAAAAAAUGAAAAUAAUAAAUAAGCAGCAAAAAGAAAAAAUAAUGGCAGUUUAUACAAAAAAUUAACCUUUUCUUAAAUUCCUCUUCCCCUUCUGGCGUCUGACAGCCCAUUGGUUUGUCAAGCUUGCGAAAUGUUUUAGGAUUGGAUAAAUCCAGAUUUUCACUCUCAUAGUCUGCCAGUACCCAUGGAAACACUGGAUAUUGGGUGAGAUCACUGUAUCCCCUCCCAGCCAAUGUGUUCAGAUGCAUAAGGUAUUGGAAAUUACUAAUUUCUCCAUUUUGCCACCUUUUUGAGAAGGAUUUAGCCACUAUCUUAAAUAAACGACUGCCUUCAUUACUUUCUUGUUUAGUUGACCCAGAAAUUGUAGUGUCCAACCUGUAGCAAGGAAGAAAUUUUUGAAACAAGCCACGAGUUUUUGAGGACAAGGAAGAAACAAUAGGACAAUGUUAACAGGCACCACAGCAUAUGGAGAUCAAGAAUAUAAAUCCUUGAUGAUACCUAAGAUAUCAAAGGAAAAGAGAUCUCUCGAAAUAGAUUUGGGGACACUAUUAUCCAGUAGCAUGUGAAAACUGUAAUACAAGCUAUAUAUUCAGCAGACAGAGACACAAAACCAAUCUAACCAGCUAUUUAUUUCAACAGCAUCACUAUUUCAGAGCAUGUUUUAAGAUAUUUCAACUAGAGGAGGCUAGUUUAUGGGCUGGGAAGAAACAUGUAAAACUCUGUAGUCAGUGAAUGACAAUCGCAAACCUAGCAUUCACUUCAAAGCUUUUGAGAGACAGAGGCCCAAUUGGUUGCUGAGAAAUUCUAGAAUAAUAGACCAAAAUGCAAAACACAACAAAAAACCUGGGGAGAAGCACAAACAAAAACAACAUUGGAUCCCCAUUUGUUUUCAGUCUUUUCUCAUGGAAUAGUAUGUGCUCAACCUGUAAAGCUAUAUAGUUUUCUGACAUAUAGCAGUUUGGUUAGGAAUGCAUAACACACCUUCCCUCUCUGUUUAUAUCCAAAUAUGAGGUCUAUCCAGUGAUGCAGAUUUUGAGAAACAUAAUCAGAUUCCAACGCUUCUCGAUGCUUCUUAAUGAAUUCUCUAGCACUUCCUUUGGCCCAUGGAGGCAAGAAGACAUCACCCA